GAACACUUUCCUUCCUAUUAUACAUGUAGAAGUAGUACAGAAAGUGAAGUUGACUAAACAAUAUGGUGAACCAAGACACCCUUCAUCUCCCCUACAAAUACAAUACAAAAUCAUUCAUGUCUUGUAAAAACUGUAGACAAAAUUGUGACCUUUGAUUGCUGUGCUAAUCAUUCAUUCUCUUGCCACUUGAUAUCUAUCAACAAAUCGAAGAUCUUUGUUUAGAUUUCUCAUUUCCUUCUGUGUUUGCUUCUAUUAACUUUCACAAUCUUCCGACCUGAUUUGUCAGGACCACUGCUACCCAGAGAGAAGCUCCCUCCACCGCCAAAUUCUUGACUGUUUGAUGCUGCAAACAGAGAAGAGUUUUGAGGUGCUGCCUGCACUAGAUUGCUUGAUGCUGCAAAUGGAGAUGGAUUCUGGGGAGCAGCGUGACUCUGCUGGCCGCCAAACUGGAAUGGAUUUGGUGCUGAACCAAAUGCAAAACCACCUGGAGAAGGCGAGACAGAAGGUUGCCCAAAAGAAACUGCAGGUGCAGGAGCCUGCACAAGAUCCUCGGCCAUGCUGUCUUCCAUG
Molecule: unclassified non-coding RNA, 570 nt
Filed under: Hevea brasiliensis (rubber tree)
Lineage: Eukaryota; Viridiplantae; Streptophyta; Magnoliopsida; Malpighiales; Euphorbiaceae
Source: RNAcentral